RNAcentral lists this ribosomal RNA (405 nucleotides) under uncultured Gammaproteobacteria bacterium. RNAcentral's name for it is "bacterial SSU rRNA". It matches the Rfam family "Bacterial small subunit ribosomal RNA", at positions 9 to 416 of the family's 1533-position model. The record is from RNAcentral. Lineage: Bacteria; Pseudomonadati; Pseudomonadota; Gammaproteobacteria.
GAGUUUGAUCAUGGCUCAGAGUGAACGCUGGCGGCAGGCCUAACACAUGCAAGUCGAGCGGCAGCGCGGGGGCGACCCUGGCGGCGAGCGGCGGACGGGUGAGGAAUGCAUCGGAAUCUACCUCGUUGUGGGGGAUAACCUCGGGAAACCGGGACUAAUACCGCAUACGACCUACGGGUGAAAGUGGGGGACCGCAAGGCCUCACGCGAUGAGAUGAGCCGAUGCCGGAUUAGCUAGUUGGCGGGGUAAAGGCCCACCAAGGCGACGAUCCGUAGCUGGUCUGAGAGGAUGAUCAGCCACACUGGAACUGAGACACGGUCCAGACUCCUACGGGAGGCAGCAGUGGGGAAUAUUGGACAAUGGGCGCAAGCCUGAUCCAGCCAUGCCGCGUGUGUGAAGAAGGCC